AUUGAACGCUGGCGGCAUGCCUUACACAUGCAAGUCGAACGGCAGCACGGGGGCAACCCUGGUGGCGAGUGGCGAACGGGUGAGUAAUACAUCGGAACGUGUCCUGUAGUGGGGGAUAGCCCGGCGAAAGCCGGAUUAAUACCGCAUACGAUCUACGGAAGAAAGCGGGGGAUCUUCGGACCUCGCGCUGCAGGGGCGGCCGAUGGCAGAUUAGCUAGUUGGUGGGGUAAAGGCCUACCAAGGCGACGAUCUGUAGCUGGUCUGAGAGGACGACCAGCCACACUGGGACUGAGACACGGCCCAGACUCCUACGGGAGGCAGCAGUGGGGAAUUUUGGACAAUGGGGGCAACCCUGAUCCAGCAAUGCCGCGUGUGUGAAGAAGGCCUUCGGGUUGUAAAGCACUUUUGUCCGGAAAGAAAACCAUCGCCCUAAUAUGGUGGUGGGAUGACGGUACCGGAAGAAUAAGCACCGGCUAACUACGUGCCAGCAGCCGCGGUAAAAC
This 503-nucleotide ribosomal RNA is filed under the name uncultured bacterium. Its description in RNAcentral is "bacterial SSU rRNA". It matches the Rfam family "Bacterial small subunit ribosomal RNA", at positions 29 to 526 of the family's 1533-position model. The record is from RNAcentral.